GACGAACGCUGGCGGCGUGCUUAACACAUGCAAGUCGAGCGGUAAGGCCCUUUCGGGGGUACACGAGCGGCGAACGGGUGAGUAACACGUGGGUGACCUGCCCUCAGCUCUGGGAUAAGCCUGGGAAACCGGGUCUAAUACUGGAUAUGACUCCAUGACGCAUGUUGUGGGGUGGAAAGCCUUGUGCGGCUGAGGAUGGGCCCGCGGCCUAUCAGCUUGUUGGUGGGGUGAUGGCCUACCAAGGCGACGACGGGUAGCCGGCCUGAGAGGGCGACCGGCCACACUGGGACUGAGACACGGCCCAGACUCCUACGGGAGGCAGCAGUGGGGAAUCUUGCGCAAUGGGCGGAAGCCUGACGCAGCGACGCCGCGUGAGGGAUGACGGCCU
This 388-nucleotide ribosomal RNA is filed under the name uncultured bacterium. Its description in RNAcentral is "bacterial SSU rRNA". It matches the Rfam family "Bacterial small subunit ribosomal RNA", at positions 28 to 417 of the family's 1533-position model. The record is from RNAcentral.